RNAcentral lists this unclassified non-coding RNA (231 nucleotides) under rhizosphere metagenome. RNAcentral describes it as "partial ribosomal RNA internal transcribed spacer region". The record is from RNAcentral.
GUUGGUGAACCAGCGGAGGGAUCAUUACAAGAAGCCGAAAGGCUACUUAAAACCAUCGCGAACUUGUCCAAGUUGCUUCGGCGGCGCGGCCCCCUUCGCGGGGGUGCCGCUGCCCCGGCCUCUCCGGAGGUGCGGGGCGCCCGCCGGAGGUCACAAACUCUGCAUCACAGUGGUAUCUCUGAGUGAAAAGCAAAUAAGUCAAAACUUUCAACAACGGAUCUCUUGGUUCUG